Long non-coding RNA from Helianthus annuus (common sunflower), 294 nucleotides. RefSeq lists it as uncharacterized. The transcript has 4 exons. Lineage: Eukaryota; Viridiplantae; Streptophyta; Magnoliopsida; Asterales; Asteraceae. The record is from RefSeq and is a predicted model, not a curated record.
AGGUGAACUUGGAUGCGUUUGCAAUGUUUCAUUUGAGUCAGAUUGCAGUUGAGUGCAGAAUUAUCAUGGAACUUGCAAUUCCGUGAGAGAAACCGGGCUCACGAGUGUUUGAAAGAUUCACAGUGGGCUAUCAUCCACGGUCAUGAGAAAUUGUAUACAACGUUAUGACUCAAUGCGGUUACGAAAAAGCUUACAAGGACUACAGCUUUGACACGGACCAGAGUCGUGUAUCUCUUUGUAUAUGACUGCAGUUGCUUCUCUUUCUCAUUUACUUCAAAAACCAACUGUUACGGU